This 207-nucleotide ribosomal RNA is filed under the name uncultured Syntrophomonadaceae bacterium. Its description in RNAcentral is "partial 16S ribosomal RNA". It matches the Rfam family "Bacterial small subunit ribosomal RNA", at positions 568 to 774 of the family's 1533-position model. The record is from RNAcentral. Lineage: Bacteria; Bacillati; Bacillota; Clostridia; Eubacteriales; Syntrophomonadaceae.
CACGUAGGCGGGUAUUUAAGUCAGGUGUGAAAGACCGCAGCCCAACUGCGGGGUUGCACUUGAAACUGGAUAUCUUGAGGGCAGGAGAGGUCAGUGGAAUUCCUGGUGUAGCGGUGAAAUGCGUAGAUAUCAGGAGGAACACCAGUGGCGAAGGCGGCUGACUGGACUGACCCUGACGCUGAGGUGCGAAAGCGUGGGGAGCAAACA